CUACGGGCCGCAGCAGUCGAGAAUCUUCCGCAAUGGGCGCAAGCCUGACGGAGCAAUGCCGCGUGAGGGAUGACGGCCCUAGGGUUGUAAACCUCUGUCAGAAGGGACGAAGAACGUGACGGUACCUUCAGAGGAAGCCAUGGCUAACUACGUGCCAGCAGCCGCGGUAAUACGUAGAUGGCGAGCGUUAUUCGGAUUUACUGGGCGUAAAGGGUCCGUAGGGGGUCUGCCAAGUCUGAUGUGAAAUCCUGCGGCUCAACCGCGGAACUGCAUUGGAAACUGGCGGACUAGAGUGUGCGAGGGGUGAGCGGAAUUCCUGGUGUAGCGGUGGAAUGCGUAGAUAUCAGGAAGAACACCGAUUGCGAAGGCGGCUCACUGGCGCAUCACUGACCCUGAGGGACGAAAGCGUGGGUAGCAAACAGGAUUAGAUACCCUCGUAGUC
Molecule: ribosomal RNA, 442 nt
Filed under: uncultured bacterium
Lineage: Bacteria
Description: partial 16S ribosomal RNA
Rfam family: Bacterial small subunit ribosomal RNA
Source: RNAcentral